Molecule: small nucleolar RNA, 104 nt
Organism: Pan troglodytes (chimpanzee)
Lineage: Eukaryota; Metazoa; Chordata; Mammalia; Primates; Hominidae
Rfam family: Small nucleolar RNA U13
Source: Rfam
AUCCUUUUGUAGUUUGUAAGUGUGAUGAUUGGGGUUUCAUGCUCAUGUGUGAGACGUGCCUCCCUCAAAUGUGCUGGGUAUGUCAGCACAUUACCCAUCUGAUG